GGAUUAGAUACCCUGGUAGUCCAAGCUGUAAACGAUGUAGAUUAGAUGUUGGAAGAGUCGAUCCUUUCAGUGUCGCAGUUAACACAUUAAAUCUACCACCUGGGGAGUACGGUCGCAAGACUGAAACUCAAAGGAAUUGACGGGGACCCGCACAAGCGGUGGAGCAUGUGGUUUAAUUCGAGGCUACGCGAGGAACCUUACCUGGGCUUGACAUGAUAGGAGUAAUCCCUCAGAAACGAGGGGUGACCGUAUCCAAUCGGAGCUUAUUACAGGUGCUGCAUGGCUGUCGUCAGCUCGUGUCG
This 302-nucleotide ribosomal RNA is filed under the name uncultured bacterium. RNAcentral describes it as "bacterial SSU rRNA". It matches the Rfam family "Bacterial small subunit ribosomal RNA", at positions 775 to 1067 of the family's 1533-position model. The record is from RNAcentral.